AGUGAGGUAAGCUGCCGAAGCUCUAUAACCGGCCUCUUCUCGCUUUCCGUUUAUCAAUGGCAGCAGCUGAAUCAGGACUUAAAGGAGUGCCCUCGAUGAGAACAUCGAAACAGGAGCCUUUUAACGUUUAGCAUUACGCACGUUUACGGCGAAAAAGAGACGCUUCAAAUCCUUUCUGUCUGUGCUCCAUUUGCUAUGUAAUAUUUGGCUGCUGGGGUCAAAUUGACUGUUCUGGCUGAACCAGGAGAGAACUGAGAAUGCUGGUGGCACAGCCAGUCAGUGGUGGGUCAAGUGCCAGUGCGGGCGGGCAGUUAGCUGCCUGAUCAGUAGUUUGCAUACUCCCAGAUGCCCAGGGAAAGCUGCAGAUCGCAGAUCAAGAUAGCGCGGCUGCCGGCGACUCGAGGUGCGGUCAACAUCCUGCCCCCAUUAAAGGGCACAUCCAGUGUAACCUGAUCUGAUUGGAUCUGAUGGUGGAGACGAGGCUGGAUUCAUCUUCGCUGAUAGUGAUCUUAGGGAUUAGAGGGCUUGUGCAGUGAGAAGGCCCUUCUCUCCCCUGCUCACAUGUCAUCCUUGGCAUCUAUGGUCCACCUACUUAAUUAUACCCGCACAGGUCUCUAGAGUAGAGCAGCAUUUAGGGAUAAAUGUGAUCUUGCCACCUUUAGUACUGUUGGGGAAGUUGUGCAGAAACACAGGGUGAUCGAUGAAUGUCGCAUCAAGAACCUUCUGAUUGCCUAUGAAGAACGAUACUAGAAUUCAACCUCCGCCUCCUGUCUUGUCCGAAAUUCCAAGGUUCUUCGAUGCUGGCAUUCAUUACAAUUACUCAACAUUUUUUUUGUCUUGCGUAAACCAUACUCAGACCUUCAGUAAGGUUUAUAUGACCUGCACUUUUUUAAAGAAUGGUGUUUUUUCAUUUUAUAUAUAAUAUGACAUCUAUAUAAAUCACACCUUUAUUUCUUUUGUGUGUAUGUGUGUGUAUAUAUGUGUAUGUGUGUAUAUAUAUGUAUGUGUGUAUGUGUAUAUAUGUAUGUGUAUGUAUAUAUGUAUGUAUAAUGAUGAUUUAAGUUUUCCUCCCAGCAUAAAUUUUUUAACAACAAUUAUUACCUUUGAAUGUUCAGAAAGGAUGGAGGAGUAUUUAACAUGUAAAUUUCUUUGAAAUGUCACCUCUUGAGACGACGAUUGGGUGCCUCUUAUUUUUUGCCGAUCGGGAAAAUCACGAGACUGGAAAAUGACACGUUAAGCUUCACAUGGGAUUAAGCGACCGUGAAAUUGUGCCGGGAUGUGUACGACUUAAUUUUUUGUUUGUUUAAAACAAAGAAUGAGCUGUUAUUACUUUGAACAGAAAACAAUGGAAGGCGACUCGUUAAUGGCUGUCAUAAAUAAAACCGUAUCAUCAUGUGAUGUGAUGAUUCUUACCCAUCA
This is a long non-coding RNA of Brienomyrus brachyistius, 1419 nucleotides long. RefSeq lists it as uncharacterized. The transcript has 2 exons. The record is from RefSeq and is a predicted model, not a curated record. Lineage: Eukaryota; Metazoa; Chordata; Actinopteri; Osteoglossiformes; Mormyridae.